AGUGAACGCUGGCGGUAGGCCUAACACAUGCAAGUCGAACGGCAGCACAGUAAGAGCUUGCUCUUACGGGUGGCGAGUGGCGGACGGGUGAGGAAUACAUCGGAAUCUACUUUUUCGUGGGGGAUAACGUAGGGAAACUUACGCUAAUACCGCAUACGACCUACGGGUGAAAGCAGGGGAUCUUCGGACCUUGCGCGAUUGAAUGAGCCGAUGUCGGAUUAGCUAGUUGGCGGGGUAAAGGCCCACCAAGGCGACGAUCCGUAGCUGGUCUGAGAGGAUGAUCAGCCACACUGGAACUGAGACACGGUCCAGACUCCUACGGGAGGCAGCAGUGGGGAAUAUUGGACAGUGGGCGCAAGCCUGAUCCAGCCAUACCGCGUGGGUGAAGAAGGCCUUCGGGUUGUAAAGCCCUUUUGUUGGGAAAGAAAAGCAGCAGGUUAAUACCCCGCUGUUCUGACGGAACCCAAAGAAUAAGCACCGGCUAACUUCGU
RNAcentral lists this ribosomal RNA (491 nucleotides) under uncultured bacterium. RNAcentral's name for it is "partial 16S ribosomal RNA". It matches the Rfam family "Bacterial small subunit ribosomal RNA", at positions 29 to 506 of the family's 1533-position model. The record is from RNAcentral.